UGGGGAAUUUUGGACAAUGGGGACCCGUACAAGCCGGACUUUUGUACCAGCAAUGCCGCGUGUGUGAAGAAGGCCUUCGGGUUGUAAAGCACUUUUGUCCGGAAAGAAAUGGCUCUGGUUAAUACCUGGGGUCGAUGACGGUACCGGAAGAAUAAGGACCGGCUAACUACGUG
Molecule: ribosomal RNA, 173 nt
Filed under: uncultured bacterium
Lineage: Bacteria
Description: partial 16S rRNA
Rfam family: Bacterial small subunit ribosomal RNA
Source: RNAcentral